CCCUCACAGGUGUCUCCCCAUCGCAGGCUCGAAACGCCCGAGGCGGGAGCUGAAACUCCCGAGCCGACCUCUCGUCUCACGUUUCCAUCAGGCUCGAGAGGGAAAUGAAGGAGGUUGUUCCCCCUUCCCACCUGAAUGAGAAGCUGAAAUUCUGUGUGCUAUCUGAAGACAAGAAGACAGAAUUGGGAAAAUUCAAACCAGGCAACUGGCAGCAAGAUUUGGCAAAUACUGGAAGAAGAUACAGUGAUCAGCUUGGAAGUGUAAGAAGUGGCAGUACAAACCCACUGAGAAGAUCAAGAAGUUUUCCAGGAAAACAUGAAAAGUCAAGAAAUUUCUAAUUCCAACUGAGGCAGGAGGGGAAAUUAGAAAUCAGUUCAGUGUCCCACCUAAAAAAGGACUGUACCCAGAUGAAUGACUGCUGACAAACACAGGUGCUUGUUUGAAAUGACUCCAGGGCCUUGUUUGAGGACAUGCCAUGCACUGCCCAGAGUGAUGGCAUUCCCAGAGGAAUGAGGGGACUUCAUGCAA
Empidonax traillii (willow flycatcher) is the source of this 528-nucleotide long non-coding RNA. RefSeq lists it as uncharacterized. The transcript has 3 exons. The record is from RefSeq and is a predicted model, not a curated record. NCBI's taxonomy places the organism in Eukaryota, Metazoa, Chordata, Aves, Passeriformes, Tyrannidae.